GACUGCCUGCACCAGCAAUGACGAGUCGUCCGUCAGGUCAGAGUAGCAGCGACCGAAGGGAGAUAUUGGGUGCACAGCAGUGCCACCUGCACCAUCUCCUCCAGUUCGACGCGGUCGUAGUUGCUUCUCAGGCCCUUGUCGACAAGCACAUCAAGCUUCUUCUCCUGGUGCAUCUUCUUCACCUGAACACAAUCCAAUGUCAAGGCAAGAGACAAGACUUGGUAGACAGUUUGACCUGUGAUCAACUCAAGCAGUAGGAUUCCAAAACCAAAGACGUCGGUUUUCUCAGAUGACUGGCCGGUGGAGAGGUAUUCCGGGGCAAUGUGCCCAACGGUGCCCCUAACGGCUGUGGUGACAUGUGAGUCGCGGUGAUCCAGGAGCUUGGCAAGCCCAAAAUCUCCGACAAUAGCUUCACAGUAGUCAUCGAGCAAUAUGUUGGCUGCCUUUACAUCCCUAUGAAUUAUCUUGGGGUCACACUGCUCAUGCAGGUACAGUAGUCCUCUUGCUGCACCGAGUGCUAUCCUCUUUCUAGUGAUCCAGUCCAGUGGUGGCUUCCCUGCAAUUAGUCACGAGAGAACAAAAUUGGUUAUAUACUUAUAUGGGAAUCAUAUUCUUUCUAAAAAGAGUUUGGCCAAUGAAAACGAUAUAGAAACGAAAGGAUCAAAUAAGAAGCUAUCUUGUGAAGAAUGGAGACGCAAUGCAACACUCCCAUUUGACAUGUAUGGAUAUACCAGAAGCCUCUCAGUAGCAGUCAUGCAGAAUCCAUAAAGUCUGAGGAGGUUCCUGUGCAGCGCCAAGCUGAUCAUCUCAACUUCAGUCUGGAACUGUGCCUGCCCGCCUGCAGCAUUACCGUCUUUCAGCCUCUUUACAGCUACCACAGUUCCAUCUGGGAGCUUUCCUCGGUUGACAUUCUCUGUGUGUUGCUCUGCAAUAACCAAUGCGUUACGACAAAAACAACCGUGGCAUGCUAGUAACUGAUACCAGGAUGCUCCCAAAUUUCACAAGCAUUGAGGCAUUAUGGAUUUAUGACUUAAAUCAGUAUUGGCAUUUUACUUACCAUCAAU
Molecule: long non-coding RNA, 1064 nt
Organism: Oryza brachyantha (malo sina)
Lineage: Eukaryota; Viridiplantae; Streptophyta; Magnoliopsida; Poales; Poaceae
Exons: 5
Source: RefSeq, a predicted model, not a curated record